UGAUCCUGGCUCAGAAGGAACGCUGGCAGCGUGCAUAACACAUGCAAGUCGAACGCGAAAGAAUCCUUCGGGAUUUGGACGAGUGGCGAACGGGUGAGGAACACGUAAGAAUCUACCUUUCGGUUGGGGAUAACUUCUGGAAACGGGAGCUAAUACCCAAUAUGCUGUGGAGUGAAAGAAUUUCGCCGAGAGACGAUCUUGCGUCUGAUUAGCUUGUUGGGGUGGUAAUGGCACACCAAGGCGACGAUCAGUAGCUGGUCUGAGAGGAUGGACAGCCACAUUGGGACUGAGACACGGCCCAGACUCCUACGGGAGGCAGCAGUGGGGAAUUUUCCGCAAUGGACGAAAGUCUGACGGAGCGACGCUGCGUGAAGGAUGAAGGCCCGUGGGUUGUAAACUUCUUUUCUCGAAGAAGAAAAAAAUGACGGUAUUCGAGGAAUAAGCAUCGGCUAACUCUGUGCCAGCAGCCGCGGUAAGACAGAGGAUGCAAGUGUUAUUCGGAAUGAUUGGGCGUAAAGAGUCUGUAGGCGGUUUAGAAAGUCUUUUGUGAAAUACUUCAGCUCAACUGAGGCUCCGCAAAAGAAACUUCUAGACUUGAGGAAAGUAGAGGUACAGGGAAUUUCCGGUGGAGCGGUGAAAUGCGUAGAUAUCGGAAGGAACACCAAUAUGGCGAAGGCACUGUACUGGGCUUUUCCUGACGCUCAGAGACGAAAGCUGAAGGAGUGAUUAGGAUUAGAUACCCUAGUAAU
RNAcentral lists this ribosomal RNA (749 nucleotides) under uncultured marine bacterium. RNAcentral's name for it is "bacterial SSU rRNA". It matches the Rfam family "Bacterial small subunit ribosomal RNA", at positions 14 to 794 of the family's 1533-position model. The record is from RNAcentral.